RNAcentral lists this non-coding RNA (871 nucleotides) under Isthmohyla tica (Starrett's treefrog). The record is from RNAcentral. Lineage: Eukaryota; Metazoa; Chordata; Amphibia; Anura; Hylidae.
UGGUCCUGACCUUGUAAUCAAUUAUUACUUAACUUAUUCAUGCAAGUCUCCGCACUCCUGUGAGAACGCCCUUACUUAUCUUCUAGAAAUAAGGAGCUGGUAUCAGGCACAACCCUCAGCCCAAAACACCUAGCUUUGCCACAUCCACAAGGAAAUUCAGCAGUAAUCAACAUUGAGUAUGAGCGCCAGCUCGACUCAGUCAAAGUAAAGAGGGCCGGCAAAUAUGGUGCCAGCCGCCGCGGUUACACCACUAGACUCAAAUUGAUUAUUUUCGGCGUAAAGCGUGAUUAAAGUUAAUUAAUAUUAUAGUUGUAUUUUAACUAAGCCGUGACACGCUUGUUUACAAGAAACCCAAAAACGAAAGUUACUAUAUUUACAACAACUUGAACCCACGACAGCUGGGACACAAACUGGGAUUAGAUACCCCACUAUAAGCUUAAAACCCAAAGGACGUGACGGUACCCCACRUCCCCCUAGAGGAGCCUGUCCUGUAAUCGAUAAUCCCCGUUCAACCUCACCAUUUUUAGCUUCUCAGCCUGUAUACCUCCGUCGUCAGCUUACCUCGUGAGUGCUACUCAGUGAGCUUAAUGUAUAUUCAUCAACACGUCAGGUCAAGGUGCAGUAAAUAAAAUGGGAAGAGAUGGGCUACACUCUCUAAUCUAGAAAACACGAAAGACUAUUUAUGAAAUCUAGUCGGAAGGCGGAUUUAGUAGUAAAAAGAAACUAUAGAGUUCUUUUUAACCCGGCACUGGGGUGUGUACACACCGCCCGUCACCCUCUUCGAAGCCAAAAGACAGUAAUUAACUCACCUUAGCAUUUUAGAAGAGGCAAGUCGUAACAUGGUAAGCGUACCGGAAGGUGUGCUUGGAAA